This 420-nucleotide ribosomal RNA is filed under the name uncultured Nitrososphaerota archaeon. RNAcentral describes it as "bacterial SSU rRNA". It matches the Rfam family "Archaeal small subunit ribosomal RNA", at positions 459 to 879 of the family's 1478-position model. Lineage: Archaea; Thermoproteati; Nitrososphaerota. The record is from RNAcentral.
CAGCCGCCGCGGUAAUACCAGCACCCCGAGUGGUCGGGACGAUCAUUGGGCCUGAAGCAUCCGUAGCCGGUACUGCAAGCCUUCCGUUAAAUCCACCUGCUUAACAGUUGGGCUGCGGGGGAUACUACAGCGCUAGGAGGCGGGAGAGGCAAGCGGUACUCAAUGGGUAGGGGUAAAAUCCGCUGAUCCAUUGAAGACCACCAGUGGCGAAGGCGGCUUGCCAGAACGCGCUCGACGGUGAGGGAUGAAAGCUGGGGGAGCAAACCGGAUUAGAUACCCGGGUAGUCCCAGCUGUAAACGAUGCAGACUCGGUGAUGGGCUGGCCUUGUGCCAACCCAGUGCCGCAGGGAAGCCGUUAAGUCUGCCGCCUGGGGAGUACGGUCGCAAGACUGAAACUUAAAGGAAUUUGCGGGGGAGUAC